RNAcentral lists this long non-coding RNA (219 nucleotides) under Bos taurus (domestic cattle). RNAcentral's name for it is "long non-coding RNA NONBTAT023225". The record is from RNAcentral. Lineage: Eukaryota; Metazoa; Chordata; Mammalia; Artiodactyla; Bovidae.
UGAUGAAGGAUAUCUUAAUCAUAUUUAUUUCACUUUUAUCUAAUGCUAGCAAACUUUCCAGGGAUAGAUAAUCUGCCAUUAUUUACCCAGCUGACUAGAUGUAUAGAGUUUGUAUUUUCUUGAUAAAAAAUAUUUUCCUAAUACAUGUAUAUCCAUAUGGAAUCCAUUUUUAUAAAUAGUGUGGAGGGAAUUUUUUCACCCAAAAGGCUGGUCAGCAUC